Molecule: small nuclear RNA, 107 nt
Organism: Suncus etruscus (white-toothed pygmy shrew)
Lineage: Eukaryota; Metazoa; Chordata; Mammalia; Eulipotyphla; Soricidae
Source: RefSeq, a predicted model, not a curated record
GUGCUCGCUUCGGCAGCACAUAUACUAAAAUUGGAACAAUACAGGGAAGAUUAGCAUGGCCCCUGCGCAAGGAUGGCCCGAAAAACAAAACAAAACAAAACAAAACA